GGGCGGGUAGCUCAGUGGUAGAGCUCCGGUUUUACACACCGGCUGUCGCAGGUUCGACCCCUGUCCCGCCUA
Molecule: transfer RNA, 72 nt
Filed under: Polyangiaceae bacterium
Lineage: Bacteria; Pseudomonadati; Myxococcota; Polyangiales; Polyangiaceae
Description: tRNA-Val
Rfam family: tRNA
About the family: Transfer RNA (tRNA) molecules are approximately 80 nucleotides in length. Their secondary structure includes four short double-helical elements and three loops (D, anti-codon, and T loops). Further hydrogen bonds mediate the characteristic L-shaped molecular structure. tRNAs have two regions of fundamental functional importance: the anti-codon, which is responsible for specific mRNA codon recognition, and the 3' end, to which the tRNAs corresponding amino acid is attached (by aminoacyl-tRNA synthetases). tRNAs cope with the degeneracy of the genetic code in two manners: having more than one tRNA (with a specific anti-codon) for a particular amino acid; and 'wobble' base-pairing, i.e. permitting non-standard base-pairing at the 3rd anti-codon position.
Source: RNAcentral